This 469-nucleotide ribosomal RNA is filed under the name uncultured bacterium. RNAcentral describes it as "partial 16S ribosomal RNA". It matches the Rfam family "Bacterial small subunit ribosomal RNA", at positions 28 to 507 of the family's 1533-position model. The record is from RNAcentral.
GACGAACGCUGGCGGCGUGCUUAACACAUGCAAGUCGAACGGAAAGGCCCUGCUUGCAGGGUGCUCGAGUGGCGAACGGGUGAGUAACACGUGGGUGAUCUGCCCCUUACUUUGGGAUAAGCCUGGGAAACUGGGUCUAAUACUGGAUAGGACCAUGCUGUAGGUGGUGUGGUGGAAAGAUUAGUUUCGGUAAGGGAUGAGCUCGCGGCCUAUCAGCUUGCUGGUGGGGUAAUGGCCUACCAAGGCGUCGACGGGUAGCCGGCCUGAGAGGGUGGACGGCCACAUUGCGACUGAGAUACGGCGCAGACUCCUACGGGAGGCAGCAGUGGGGAAUAUUGCACAAUGGGCGCAAGCCUGAUGCAGCGACGCCGCGUGGGGGAUGACGGCCUUCGGGUUGUAAACUCCUUUCAGCCAUGACGAAGCCCUUGUGGUGACGGUAGUGGUAGAAGAAGCACCGGCUAACUACGUG